AGACACUGAAAGUGGAAAUAAGGAUUAAAAUGUAUUAUAGGAAGACGCCGAAUCACCCCGCUGCUGACAGGCAGGUCUGCCCAUGCCCUACCGAGGUCCCCAGUCGCACGGAACACACCGAAUCACCCUGCUGCAGACAGGCAGCCACCUGGUUCCACACUACAAAGACACAGAGGACACCAGACAACCAGACCAAGGCACUAACAGCUCCCCGCCCCAGUCGAAAUGAGAAAACACGUAAACAAGUCUCAAAACCAGACUUCCAGAUCACCUACAGCAACUUCAAAGGGAAAUGAGAUGGAACACUCUGAUACUCAACCACCUGGACACACUGAACUGGCAACAAAAGGGGAUCUGGAAAAAAUGAAAUCAGAAAUAAUGUCUCAGAUAACAGAAAUUGUGCCCCUAGUGCAAGACAUGAUUAAUAAAUCUAGAGAGGAG
Heterocephalus glaber (naked mole-rat) is the source of this 441-nucleotide long non-coding RNA. The record is from Ensembl. NCBI's taxonomy places the organism in Eukaryota, Metazoa, Chordata, Mammalia, Rodentia, Bathyergidae.